This 87-nucleotide transfer RNA is filed under the name Candidatus Bathyarchaeota archaeon. RNAcentral describes it as "tRNA-Tyr". It matches the Rfam family "tRNA". Rfam says of the family: Transfer RNA (tRNA) molecules are approximately 80 nucleotides in length. Their secondary structure includes four short double-helical elements and three loops (D, anti-codon, and T loops). The record is from RNAcentral. Lineage: Archaea; Thermoproteati; Candidatus Bathyarchaeota.
GGCAAGGUGGCCGAAUUGGUGAAAGCGGCAGGCUGUAACCCUGUUACAUAAGAACCAUUGGGGGUUCGAAUCCCUCCCUUGUCACCA